RNAcentral lists this ribosomal RNA (253 nucleotides) under uncultured bacterium. Its description in RNAcentral is "partial 16S ribosomal RNA". It matches the Rfam family "Bacterial small subunit ribosomal RNA", at positions 524 to 776 of the family's 1533-position model. The record is from RNAcentral.
UACGGAGGGAGCUAGCGUUGUUCGGAAUUACUGGGCGUAAAGCGCGCGUAGGCGGCUUUGUAAGUUAGAGGUGAAAGCCCGGAGCUCAACUCCGGAACUGCCUUUAAAACUGCAUCGCUUGGAUCCAGGAGAGGUGAGUGGAAUUCCGAGUGUAGAGGUGAAAUUCGUAGAUAUUCGGAAGAACACCAGUGGCGAAGGCGGCUCACUGGACUGGUAUUGACGCUGAGGUGCGAAAGCUAGGGGAGCGAACGGG